Columba livia (rock pigeon) is the source of this 4721-nucleotide long non-coding RNA. RefSeq lists it as uncharacterized. Lineage: Eukaryota; Metazoa; Chordata; Aves; Columbiformes; Columbidae. The transcript has 2 exons. The record is from RefSeq and is a predicted model, not a curated record.
AGUUGCCUGUGCCCGACCGCCGGGCAGCUCCCCGCAGUGCGGCGCGAAGCACAAAGCUGCGGGCCCCGGGCGGCUCUGCAGGGGGCUGCUGCUGCCGCCGCCCCCGGGGGUCAGAGUGGGGCGGGGGUGUCCCCGCAGACCCGGACCUCCGCCCCCCGCGGAGAGGCGCGGUGGUGGGACAGGGCGGCCGAGCCCGCGGUGUCCCCCUCUCCGCCCAGCCCGGCGGCAGCAGCGAGACGCGCUGGAGGGGCCGCUCCGCGCAGCUGCUGCCAACUUUUGCCGGCGCUCAGCUGCGCCGCGGUUCCUCCCGGGAAGCAAAGUCGGGGCUGCGCCUUCGCCCCCGGCAGCGGCGUGUGCCCGCGGGCGCUUCUGGCUGCGCUUCCCUGUUUCUUUCCUCUUUUUUUUUACUUUCUUUUGCGGGGAAGGAUGGGGAAGAAGCGAGAAAGCGCGAAGGGACGUGCGUGAUACAGCCCUUGUUGCAGCUCAUCCCCGCUGGAGCGGGGGACUUAGGUCAACACCCGCUCUCCCCAAAAAAGGCCCCCGCGCCGCGGGAGGGACAGGACGGGACGGGAUGAGAUGAGACCGGCCACCGAAAGGUUGGUGCCUGGCAAUAUAAACUCAUGGAAAUAGCUGGCCUAGCUACUUCGAAAAUGCUGGGAGAGAAAAAGCAAAUAAUUGUGAAAGGCGACCUUUACACAGCCCCCACGUUUCUAGCCAGUGGUACUUGUAUAUUUUUGGAUUGUUGUAGCCCACUUGCCCAACUCACAGGCGAAAUAUCUUGCUUGAGACCUGAGGUGAGUUUUAAGGUAUAAAAGACAGCAGUUUGUUUGGGUACUACAGAAGAGAUGUUCUGUGUGCCUCAGUUGUGUUUUCUGCCAGGAAUGUGAAAUCCCAGUAGCACAGAUAUGUGGACUAGAAUAGACAGGUAAGCUGGAAUGCAGCUGUCCCGACUGGAAUAUCUUCUGCCCCUUCUGAAUGUCUGGGAUGCCUGUGACAUUCCAAAAUGGGCUGGCAGAUGUGCUGCACAAUCCGCAGGAGACCUCUUUCCUUCUGGCAUAGUAGUUGGAAGCCAGGCAAGAUCUUCUCCUCAGGGGAGGUCUGUCUGGUGAGGCAUGGGAAUUGCUCCACCCCAGGCCUGGCUCCCUGGCCCUGUGGCCCUGCGGGGCUUGGCCCAUGCAUUGCAUUCCUUCACAGACAGAAAAAAAAACCAAAAAUAGUAUGAAAAGGAAAAAGACUCAUCAGUUUUUAAAUGUAUUUUCUUCAUGACAGGCUACUGGAGCCAGUUACUGAGCCAGCCUGUUGCCAGUUUCAUGAAAGAACUAAUGAAAAUGUAGUUCAGACCUUACUUUUCAAAGAGAUCAUGUUCUGUCUUCUACUCCUUUUUUGAUAAAUUGAAUCAAGAACAUAAAAAACUGUAUUAGUCAUGAUUAUAAGAUAUUGUUUUAUAGCUUUAUACACAGAAAAGUGCUGGUGCUCUGUGGGGAUGACCAUAAAGGCACCAUCCGAUUCCUACCUGGGCCACAGGAACAAGGAGCAGCACAAGGCAUGUUCCAUCUGGGGUGUCUUUGGUGGCUUGGGCUCCUUUUGGCACUUCAGUGCCAUAGAUCUGUGAACAGUCUGACUUUUGUUAUAAGGCCACAUCCAGAAAGGUGGGAAAAAGAAAGGUAAGAAGCUAAGAACUUCCUCAACAACUUAACAUCAUUAGGGUUGCAAAAAAAGGGAACAUUAUUUUAUUAAAAGGGUUUGUAUAGCUAAAUUAAUAUUUAACAACUGUUUUCCUGAAGUAAUUGACACUGUACUAAAUGUCUAAAAGUUACAGCUUGCCAACUUUUUAAGUGAGUGCAUGUUUGGAAGCACUGCCCAUCAAAGCUGUGGCUUUCCUGGUGAAUUUCAGUUUACCUCUGUAGAUAGAUCUGGUGUCUUCCUCUUGCUUCCAAUUUUUUUUUUCCUUCUUUGUCAGCAAAUCUUAAACACUCCUCUUCCCUAGUGAGGUUUUCCGAAGUUUAACUAAAAUGUGCUCUCAUCAUCUUCAGCGUACUUAAAUUUAAAAAGAAAGUUUUACUUUAGCAGAAAGUAUCCUGGGUCUCAAAGCUGUCAUGUCGUUCAGGGAUUCAAUGUGAAACAGAGUGGCACCAAAAUUGGGAGGAACCGAAGCUUAGGGUCAUGGCAAUGGGGGGAACGUAAAGGAGGGGACACCGGGUGAGGGGAUUCGAUGUGACACAGGGCGGAACCAAAGUUCAGGAUCACGAGGAUGAUGGGGAAGGUGAGAGAGGACACCCGGGGAAGGGAUUUGAGGUGGCACCAGGCGGAACCGAAGUUGGGUGGAACUGAAGUUCACGGUCACCGGGGAGGGGGAGGUAAAUGGGAGGGGGCACCGGGGAAGAAUUUCGAUGUGACACUUAGCGGAACCAAAGUUGGCCGGAACCAAAGUUCAGAGUCAUGGGGACAUACGGGGAAGGGAGAGAAGAGGGCACCGAGGAAAUUGGGGGGCAGAAUAGAGGGGACACCGAGGCGCCACCUGGCGAGUGCGGGUAGAGGUGGUGUCCGAGGGGACGGUAGAGGAGGGGACACCAGGGGAACGUGAGGCAGGUGAGUGUGGGAUUGUGAAUUCUUGUGAGGGGCUACGUAGGUUUUUCUUCCUGUUUUCCCUUUUUUGUUAUUCUUUUUUUCCUUCUUUUUUUUUUUUAAUUUUUUACUAUUUUUCCUUUUUUUUUUUCUUUUUACUCUUUCUCUUUUUUCUUUCCUUUUUCUUCUUCUUUUUCCUCCCUUUUUAUUUUUUCUUUCCUAGCUUUUUCUUCCUCUCCUAGUUUUUUUUCUUCCUUUUUUUUUCCUAGCUUUUCAGCACCUUCCUAGUUUCCCGUGUCAUCUGAUGGGUGAAGUGUUACUCUUGCGUGCAGGUUUGGAACAUGAGGGUCCACUGCAUUUUCCACUGGAGCUCCAAAUCUCAGAGACGAGGUCAGAGUGCAGACUCUCAGGACAGCCCAGUGUCUCAUGUAGAAUAAAAUUCUUUGCGCCAUGUAUGUGUGUGUAUGUGUGUGUGUGUGUGUGUGUGAGCUCUGCACAGGAGCAGCCUGGCCCCGUGUACCAAAAGAUGAGCCAGUGGGGAAGAAGAUGACCUGGCUGGAACAAAAGAAGACUUCAUGACCUUUGGAAGAAGGUGCGGGAUACUCAGGAGGAAUACAAGGAUGCUGUGAAAUUAUGUAGCCUGCAGAAUUUGAAUUGGAUUCUACUUCCUCCAGAAGCAGCAGCCACACAGGGAGUAGUUCUGAUGAUGAUCCACCAAGGAAAAAUAAGGAGUGUGGAAGGGUCUGGAACAGUUUAGUGAACAUGAACGCUCUUCAGAGAUGUUUUGAAGCACAUGCUUGCCAAACAGUUUAACUGAUCAACAUUUCUACUGCUAAAGCUUUCUAAAUGUUUUGCAUAGUUGCUCAUAGGAUGUGAGAGGUAUUAAAAUGGCAUGUGAGACUUACUGAAAGAGUAUUUUCGUGAUUUAUCCUUUUAUGGAAAGUUUACUUUUUUAGAUCAAAAAUCCAGUGUCAGAUUUGUUUCUAUGAGUAACCUGGAUGUUUACAUUCUGGCAAGCAAAAGCUUUUUAUUGCAGCUCAUGAUGUGCACCAUAUACUACGACUCUGUUGAUGAGAGCUUAAUCUGCACUUAGAAAACACUCUAAAUCGUCAGAAGCUGCUGGCUGCAGAGCCCUGUCAUUGCUGAACCUGAGUGCAAAACAUGGCACACAGAGGACCUUCCAUCUCCCUGUUAACAAGUGUAUUAUAUGCUGCUGAGCUUUUUUCCUGCUGGCUUUUCCUGAUGCUUCCAGGUUGAGUCUCAGCUGCAACAUCAAACUUUAAGCAGUGUUCCUUUGUUAAUGAUCAAUAUCUUACUUGUGCUGUGCAGAGGCUGUAGUCCUUUCAACUCAUCUGUUUCCUUAGCUCCUGUAUUUGUUGAGUUUCCUGAGACACACAAUGUCUCUAGCGAUGUCUGUGAGAGAAAGAAGAGCAGCGCACAGCAGAAUUCUGACUGAUGCUGCUUAGGAGUUUCAUCUUUGUGCCUUUUUUUGUGUGAAUUAAAUGUAUCCUAGUGAGAAAGGGGCUUGAGGGGGUGUUUUUCAGAACUCCAUUAGCUUUCCAUACAGAAGAUGGUUGCUAAAAUCAGAUAAAUAGUAGUAACAAGCAAAAAUGGGCACUGUUUUCAAGGAGAUGGGGAAAAGGCUAUUUUUACUGGAUGCUCCGUAAGAAAAUAACAGUCCUUUAAAUAACAGUCCCAAAGGAAAGUGUUUCCUUCUUGAUAUUUUUGCAAAAAAAUGUUGUGUAAUGCAAGAUUAACCAAUCUGCGGUGUUUGCCUACAUGGUGACUGGCACUAUAGUCUGCAUUAUAAUCAGUCCAUUAUUUGCAUGUAGUAGUGUGUACAGGUCUGAAAAUCUGGCAUGGAAGAAGCAAGUUAGUGAAGAAAAAGCAAAAUGCAGACUUACUGCAGAACAAUUACUGCUGGUUGUGCAUUGAAAGUGAUUUGUUCUUUUGGUGGAUUGAAGCAGUUGGCAUUAGAAUUCUGAUUGGUGAUGCAGUCUCUUAAACUUCUUAUCAUCGGAGUGCCCUUUUUUGGAGAGGAAGAAUUCUUAAAUGUCUGGGUUCAGAUGCAAUACAGUAACUAAACUAUUUUUUUAUAUUUUUUAUGGGAAAAGUAGCGUCUAAAGUUACUUUUGAAUAAACUGUGUUUACUUAAA